UACGUAGGGUGCAAGCGUUGUCCGGAAUUAUUGGGCGUAAAGGGCUCGUAGGCGGUUUGUCGCGUCGGGAGUGAAAUCAUCUGGCUUAACUGGGUGCUUGCUUUCGAUACGGGCAGACUAGAGGUAUGCAGGGGAGAACGGAAUUCCUGGUGUAGCGGUGAAAUGCGCAGAUAUCAGGAGGAACACCGGUGGCGAAGGCGGUUCUCUGGGCAUGAUCUGACGCUGAGGAGCGAAAGUGUGGGGAGCGAACAGG
Molecule: ribosomal RNA, 253 nt
Filed under: uncultured bacterium
Lineage: Bacteria
Description: partial 16S ribosomal RNA
Rfam family: Bacterial small subunit ribosomal RNA
Source: RNAcentral